This 119-nucleotide ribosomal RNA is filed under the name Pteropus alecto (black flying fox). Lineage: Eukaryota; Metazoa; Chordata; Mammalia; Chiroptera; Pteropodidae. The record is from RNAcentral.
GCCUACGGCCAUGCCACCCUGAACGUGCCCGAUCUUGACUGAUCUCGGAAGCUAAGCAGGGUCAGGCCUGGUUAGUACUUGGAUAGGAGACCACCUAGGAAGGCCAGGUGCUGUAGGAA